Molecule: ribosomal RNA, 491 nt
Filed under: uncultured bacterium
Lineage: Bacteria
Description: partial 16S ribosomal RNA
Rfam family: Bacterial small subunit ribosomal RNA
Source: RNAcentral
AGUGAACGCUGGCGGUAGGCCUAACACAUGCAAGUCGAACGGCAGCACAGUAAGAGCUUGCUCUUACGGGUGGCGAGUGGCGGACGGGUGAGGAAUACAUCGGAAUCUACUUUUUCGUGGGGGAUAACGUAGGGAAACUUACGCUAAUACCGCAUACGACCUACGGGUGAAAGCAGGGGAUCUUCUGACCUUGCGCGAUUGAAUGAGCCGAUGUCGGAUUAGCUAGUUGGCGGGGUAAAGGCCCACCAAGGCGACGAUCCGUAGCUGGUCUGAGAGGAUGAUCAGCCACAAUGGAACUGAGACACGGUCCAGACUCCUACGGGAGGCAGCAGUGGGGAAUAUUGGACAGUGGGCGCAAGCCUGAUCAAGCCAUACCGCGUGGGUGAAGAAGGCCUUCGGGUUGUAAAGCCCUUUUGUUGGGAAAGAAAAGCAGCAGGUUAAUACCCCGCUGUUCUGACGGUACCCAAAGAAUAAGCACCGGCUAACUUCGU